Molecule: transfer RNA, 76 nt
Filed under: Micavibrio aeruginosavorus
Lineage: Bacteria; Pseudomonadati; Bdellovibrionota; Bdellovibrionia; Bdellovibrionales; Pseudobdellovibrionaceae
Description: tRNA-Lys
Rfam family: tRNA
About the family: Transfer RNA (tRNA) molecules are approximately 80 nucleotides in length. Their secondary structure includes four short double-helical elements and three loops (D, anti-codon, and T loops).
Source: RNAcentral
GAUUGCGUAGCUCAGCCGGUAGAGCAACUGACUUUUAAUCAGUAGGUCGUGGGUUCGACCCCCACCGCAAUCACCA